CCUUGACUCACCUUACUCUGAUCUUUGCUUCCACAACACAUCUCCUUCAUUGACUCACACUCUCCUGACUCUCUCUUAUCAGGACCCUUGUGAUUACAUUAGCCACUCCAGGAUAAUCCCCCAACUCAAGAUCCUUAACUAAAUCAUAGCUUCAAAGUCCAUUUAGCACGUAAGAUAACAUAUUCACAUGUUCUGUGCAUUAGGAUGUGGAUUUCUUUGGGGGCCGUUAUUCUGCUUACCACAUUGCAGGAACUGUUCUUGAAUGAGAGAGACCAAAAAGACCAAAGGCAAUUCAUGGAAAUUGAUUGGAGCCUGGAUCAAGGCUGGGGGAAAACAGCUACAAAGGACCUUUUGGGGGCCUUUGGGGAAUUUAAGUACGGACUUAAGACUGGAUGGCAUUGUGGAAUUAGUGUUGAUUUUCUAACAGAUGUACUGCCACUGCCGAUAUGGUUGGUUGGAGAAUGUUCUUGUUUUGCGGAGGUGAGGGCUGAAGUAGGUUUCAAGUUUCGUGAUGUCUGCCCCUAUUUUUGGAUGGUUUGACAGAGGGGAAGUGUGUGCAUGUGCUGCAUAUUCAGAGAGGGGGAAGGGUGAAGUGGAUGUGAAGAGGCAUUAAUGGUCAUUGAAUCUAGAUGUUCACUGUAUGGUUCUUUUUGGUAGAUUUGAAAUUCUUAAAAAUGAGGGAAGAAAACCCAAUAAUAAUAAGUGGUAAAUUGGGGCUCAGUUUCCGUGGCCCCUCCUAUCUCCCAGACUUCCCAAGGAGGAGUCCCUGAGAUGGCGGCCUUUAUAUUUUCCAUGAGCACAUAGAACUGGAUUGAGAAUCUACCCUGAGUCCCCCAGACACGCACACUUCUUCCUUCAAACUCUUUUUCCAGAACUGAACUUGCUCAUUUAUGAUGUUCUUCUUAGGUCCAAGCCCAACUCUGCCUUCUUAAUGAAAUUUCUUUAUUGGUACUGAAUGCCUUGGAAACGAGAAGUGCAUUUCAGGCUGUUACCGAAGGUCUUUUCAUCUCUCCCCAAUCUCUGUUGCUUGUCAGGAGAUGUUUCCACUCUCUCCUUGGCCAGGGAGUUCAGGAAUUAAGAAGGAGAAUGAAGCCUGCCUCCCCUAUGGGAGCCUCCAUCAAGAAAUGACUCUGCCCUCACAGUGGUGGCCUUUCCUGAUCAACAGCAAAUCUGUGUCCUUUGGCUUUUGAUUUGCCCUGUGUUCUCCCAACUCAACUGACCUUUGAGGCAGGGCCAGUUCCCUUUACACUGAAGUGAUGGAUGGCUGCUGUGAGUAUCUUCACUCACUGCCUCCCAUAGCGCUCCUUUCUCCCCUGCCUACCUCCUCUGUCCACAGGCCUGGUAUUCAGUUCCCAUAAUUUGUUCGCAGAACUUUGCAUCUUUAUCUCUCAGGUUCAAAUGUGAAUGGACCUGAGGAAGCUCAGCAUUGCCAAAAGGCUGAAGGGCAUGCCUAACGAAUGUGAGAAACUGUGAGAACCAGGCAGAGGAGCCAGAGGAGAGGUGCGCACCUGAGCUGGAUGUGCUGGAUGAAGGAGUGGCCAGGUGACUUCAUUAACCUCUCCAGAAGAAGAAACGCUCAGUCUUAAAGCUCAUAAUGGCAAAAGCCACAGAGCUGGGAUCCAGGAUGCUAGAGACGUGCCCAGCAACUCUGGAGGCAGCGAGAAACCAGCGAGCGCAAGGCCCUCAGCAGGUGAUGGUGGGCGAGCUUCCCAGGCCUGCUGGAACAAAAUACCGCCAACUGGGCGGCUUCAGGCCCCAGAAAUGUAUCCAUCCGCAGUUCUGGAGGCUGGACGUCUGACAUGAAGGCGCUGACAGGGUGAGUGUCUUCUGGGGGCUCUGAGGGAGGGACUGUCCCCAGCUUCUCUCUGUGCCUCUGGGGGUUGUAGCAAAUCCUUGCUGUGUCUUGGCUUAUGGACACAUCACUGCAACCUCUGCCUCCACCUUCACACAGCCUUCUUCCCUGGGCUUCUCUGCAGCCUUUUCUCCUCUUCUAAGAACGUUCUCAUUGGAUUUAGAACCCACCCUAAUCUAGUAGGAUCUUCUUUCAAUCCUUAACUAAUUAAAUCUGAAAAGACUUUAUUUCCAAACAAAGCUACAUUCUGAUUUUCUGAGUAGACAUGAAUUUUGUGUAUUGAACCCACUACAGAUGGACUCUGAAUUCAUUUUCUUAGAAAAACAACCAAACAAGGUACAACAAGGUUUUAGUUUAUUUUUAUUAGAAAUAUUGUAAAGAAAUAAAUAUCAUCAAGUUUCUUAACUCUUCAAAAGCCUUGGUGAUUGUAAGUCAAUAUUCAAAAGUGUAUUUAGGGAGGGGGAAGUAUUAUCAUCCAUCCUCCUCAGAGAUCCUAAAACAUAUGCACAUUUUAGAUUUCCAAGUUCAACAAUUCUAAUCUAAGUCAUAAGAUUACACUACUUUUAGAUUAUCCAGAGUUUAUUACAUCCUAAAUCUUAGAAGUGAGGAAUUAAGUCAAAUUAUGCAUUUUUUUACUUUGGAAUCAAUAAACAAUUUUUUUAUGCACUAAAAAUAGGAAAGAAAGCAGCAAAAACAUGGACAGAUAUUUUGAUGAAAAAAAAUCAAUCUCUUGCUAUAGCAACCCUGCAAAACACCAGUAAGACAUCAGAAUGGCCAUGAUAGAAACAAACAAACAAACAAAUUUGGAAAAAGUUUUAUGCAAAGUAAGGAAAACAGAAGAAAUGAUAUUUCCAAGAAUAGUAGCUGCUGUUUCCUUUUUUUGUUUGUUUGUAAAGUUUAUAUAUAAUUAUCAAAAGGAGAUUUAAGGGAAGCUGAGACAUAUCUUGAAUCACGUCUUAAUCACCGUCUUCUGUGUUGUAUUACAUUUAGGAAGACAAAUUUCUAAAAAGUAAAUUUAAUUAUUUAAUACUGUAACCUGAAACUUAAUAGAUCCCCAAUUGAUUGCUUUAUGGAGACUUUAAAUUCAAUAUUUUAAGAUAAAAAUUCCAGGUCUUAUCAAAUUACCUUUUGAUAAUCAGUAUGAGAAAAUUGUAUCUGGGAAAACUUCUAUAUCUAAGACAUAGUGUGUUCUGUAGUAAUUAGGCAUAAUGUAUAUCAUGAGGGUGUGUGUUUGGCCACCAAAUAAUCCAUUAAAAUGAAAUGGUACCUGCUCUAUCACAAUUUUAAUGUUUUGGAAUGAGUCUCUUCCUGUCUUUGGUAAUUCCUUCAGAUUAUUAGUGGAAGCCAAAUUUGAGUAUCUUAUUUAACCUGGAAGCAAAGCAUAGAAACUCGUGAGGGAUGUCAGUGUUUAAACAACACUGCAGUGUGACAACAGAGCCCUUUCUGGAAGUUGAAAUAUAAGAGAGAGGGAGAAAGAAUAAGUUAAAAGGGAGGGGCAGAGAGGAGGGAUUCUAGAGAAGACCAGACUCACAAUUAUAUCUUUAGUUCCUAAUACAGUGCCUGACACUGAUGAGCACAAACAAUAUGUGUUGAAUAAAUGCAUGCUUAAAAGAUGCCUGAAGUUCAAGGCAAUGUCAUUUAUCGAGAGUGGCUACAAAUGAUGACUGGAUAUUCCCAAUCAUCCAGAUGCCUGGCCCUUCAUCCAGAGCCCCAGCCCUUCAAAGGCUACAGCAAUGAUGCUCAAACACAAGCUUUUCUGAAAUUCUAAAAUGUAUUUUAGAAUUGGAGAUCCAUUAUUUUCAAUAGUUCCAAUUAUGGCAUUAUCCAUUUUCCCUUAUGGCAUUAUCUUUUUUCCCUUCUUAAAAUGGAAAGUUUAGUGUUUUAUAAGAAGCUGAAAGUCAUUUGGUUACUAAAAAGAAAGAAGUAGAGGCUGGCCUGGUGGCGUACCAGUGAAGUUCGUGCACUCCACUUCUGCGGCCUGGGGUUCGCAGGUUUGGAUCCUAGGCACAGACCUGGCACCGCUCAUCAAGCCUCAAGCAAAAAAAGGAAGACUGGCAACAGAUAUUAGCUCAGGGCCAAUCUUCCCCACAAGAAAACCCAAGUAGACUAUAUUUUAUUAAUUCUAAAGUGGAGCUAUAUGGCAUUGAAUCAUUUCUACUUCUAAAUGAAACUCGGAAAAAGAGUCUAAAAUGCAUUGGUCAACACUUAAAGUCCUGGACCAGGACCGGGAAGUCCUGAUAGUCUUCGAGUACCUCUUAAAUAUUUUCUCAUUUCUUAAAAUAGUGGUUUGAAAUGUUCUCUAUGAAGUUCUUGAGUGGCUUUGUAAUGGAUCAAAGCUGAAAUUUGGAUGUAUUUUGCUUCUUUGUAUUUCUAUAUUUUGUUUUCUUUUUUUAUUGUGCAUAUCUAGAAAUAAAAUUGAUUUUGCUAUAUUUACUUUCUAUCCAAUGACCUUGCUAAACUCAAAUGUCCUUUUAAUAGCUUCUCUCUUCAUUCAUUUGGAUAUUCUAUGUGUACCAAGUCAUCUAUGAAUAAUGGCAGUCUUAUUUCUUCAUUUCCUAAGCCAGCCUUAUUGCAUUACACAGGACUUUCAGUAAAAUGUCGGAGAGAACUGAUGAUAGCAGCCCUCCUUGUUUUAUCCCUGAUCUCAAGGGAAAGCUUUCAAUAUUUCACAACAAAAUAUGACGUUUUCUGGAAGAUUCUUAUAUUUUUUAUCAGAUGAGUGAAGUUCCCUUUUAUUCCACCUUUGGUAAGAAACUUUUCAUUAAUGAAGGCUGAAUUUUAUAGAUUGCUUUUUCUGCAACAAUGGGAAUAUUUUAUUUUCUCCAUUAUUUUGUUAAUGUAGUGAAUUAUAUUGAUUAUUUCCUUCUUUUGGGGGGAAAAUGUUAUUGAAGUAUAACGUGCAUACAGAAAAAUGCAGACAUGAUAACUAUUAUAGCUCAGUGAAUUUUCACAAAUGAAACCAGAGUGAUCAACUGUCAGAUGAAUAAACAAAUCAUUACCAGGACACCAGAAAUACUCUAUGACUCCUUUCAGUAUAGAGACUGGGUAACUAGUAUCUUGACUUCAAAUGUCAUAGAUCGGUUUUGCCUUACUUUGAUGGUGGUGGUGCAGGGUGGAGGUGGGGGGUGUCUGGCUUCCUUCAUUCAACAUUAUGUUUGUGUGAUUAAUCCUUGUUAUUGUAAGUAGUUGUCAUUUGUCUUUUCAUUUCUGGAGAGUAUUCCAUGGUAUGAAUAUGUGACAAUCUAGUUACUAAUUAUACUGUUUAUGGACCGUUGGUUUGCAUCUUGGUUUGUAUUUUUUUUUUUGCCUGUUACAAUCAGUGCAUAUAUCAACAUUCUGGACAGGUCCCUUUUGACUGUAUCCAUGCAUUUAUUUUGAAGAUACACACACACACACACACACACACACACCCUAAGAGUAGAGUUUCUGGAUCAGAGGUUAUGCAUAUCUUCAGCAUUAGUCAACACUGUCCAAGGGUUUUGCCAAAGUGAUUGUACUCAUUUGCACUUUCACCAGCAAUAUACGAGUUAGAUUCCCAUUAAAUAAUAGGUGUUACUAUUAUUAUUAGAGAAUAUCCUUUCCUCUUAUGGAGGUGAUAGAGGAAAGUGAAAAGUAGUGGGCCUGGCCUCAGGUCAGAUGGAGUGGACUACAUGGCGUCUGGUUCUUAUACUUUGCUUCCGUGGUGUUGAACACAUUAUCUUGCAGCACAUAGCCAUCCAGGAAGCUUUAAUUGAAGUGAAAGGAAUUGCAAAAGAUCUCCUUCAUAAUAUCUGGCUUGUGGAAUGAGCAGGUACAGAGGCAAUAUAUUGGUGGACGUGAGCAGCCUGAAAGCACUAUUGAGAGACAAUAAGAUAGAUAAGGCAAUAAGAGAGAAGAUUACAUAAAUAGAUAUGGAAGGACAUUGAAGAUAUGUUUCCCACCUUGAAUGUUCCAUCUAUUAUCCUUAUCAUAGAAUUAUGUUUAAAAACUUGAAUUGUUUUCGGGGUAACCUUAGAGGGAUAAGGGGGAGGUCUGGUAUCCAGAAAUCCAGCUCCUUCAACCACCGCUACCCCUCCCCACAUUCAGACAGGGCAUUUCUACCCAUCUCAGAGGAGAUUUCAUAGAUUGCCAUAGAAGAUUUUAUUUGAAGAUACUGUUCUGCUAAAAAAGAAAAAGAAACAAUUGAGAUAGUAAUAUUCUUCUUGAUAAAUACUAAAUUUUCUGUUUCCUGUCUCAACCACUCAUUAAUCAUUUUAGUGUUUCUUUUCAACUGUCACACGAUGAUAACAUAGGUUUAUGUUUUUCUUUGUGCAAGGGACAUUCUGAUGCAGUGGAUUUUUUUGUUUAGUUUUGUUUUUAAUCACAGUACCCCAUUGCUUAUAUUUUUGUCAGAGAACAUCUAUUCUGUCCAUCUUUCAGUGAGACCUGAUAUUUUUAUCAUUCCUAAUAACAACUAUUUUUUGUAAUAAAAAGAGGAACUGGAAGUAGAUUUUUACAUCAGUGGGAUUGUAGCAAAGCAAUUACAUCUCGAUAUACAUGACCUGACAUGAAUGAGCCAGUUUUAAAAUUUCCCAUCAUCUAGAAAGGAAGUGGACUCUGCUAAAUAAUUCCUGAUGGUUCUAUAAUUAUUGGUAAGUCAGAAAAGCAUGAUUUAUUUAUUCAUUUAUUUAGAAGAAAAGGCAAAUUUUUCAGGGAAGCAUCAAUAUUAGUUAAUAACAAAUAUUGUAUAAAAAAUAUUUUGUCUUUUAGUGAUGUUAGAAGUUGAGAGAUUUUCCACAACAAUCUAGUCACUUCUGAGAGUUUAGUUCUCCUUUAGUGUUUUGCUGUUUAUCCUGUUCCGAUAAAGGUCUGCUCUAAAUGUUUUACAGUAUGUGCCAUUUAGAAUAUGGGAUCUCAACUUCCUCUUGGCAGAUUAGCAUCCUGCAUACGUACAUGAUUUUGUGGGUCAAGAGGUGUCUCUCUGAUUAUCAGAUAUAACUGGCAGCCGCAGUUCUGGGAAACUAAGUCCAUGUUUUUCUCCACGUGUCUUUGAAGACAUUCCUAGUAUAUUGGCUUCCCAAUACUGAGCCAUUGCGUAGGAAGUAUAUGCACAUAGAUAACUCAUGCAUGUUA
This 6943-nucleotide long non-coding RNA is filed under the name Equus asinus (donkey). RNAcentral describes it as "lncRNA (ENSEASG00005030762.1)". Lineage: Eukaryota; Metazoa; Chordata; Mammalia; Perissodactyla; Equidae. The record is from RNAcentral.